This 504-nucleotide ribosomal RNA is filed under the name uncultured bacterium. RNAcentral describes it as "bacterial SSU rRNA". It matches the Rfam family "Bacterial small subunit ribosomal RNA", at positions 21 to 518 of the family's 1533-position model. The record is from RNAcentral.
GGUUCAGGAUGAACGCUAGCGACAGGCUUAACACAUGCAAGUCGAGGGCAGCGCGAGGGUAGCAAUACCUUGGCGGCGACCGGCGCACUGGUGAGUAACACGUAUGCGACCUGCCCCGGACAGGGGGAUAAACCCGGGAAACUGGGCCUAAUACCCCAUAUGCCAUGAGGACGCAUGUUUUCAUGGUGAAAGAUCCGUCGGUCCGGGAUGGGCAUGCGGCGCAUUAGCUUGUUGGCGGGGCAACGGCCCACCAAGGCGACGAUGCGUAGGGGUUCUGAGAGGAAGGUCCCCCACACUGGUACUGAGACACGGACCAGACUCCUACGGGAGGCAGCAGUGAGGAAUAUUGGUCAAUGGACGCGAGUCUGAACCAGCCAAAGUCGCGUGCGGGAUGAAGGCCCUCCGGGUCGUAAACCGCUUUAGCCGGGGAGUAACGUGGGGGUCGUGACCCUCAGUGAGAGUACCCGGAGAAUAAGCAUCGGCUAACUCCGUGCCAGCCGCGGC